CCCACUGAAAAUCAUUUUUACCUGAAAUUUAAAAGUUUUUUUUUUAACUUUAUGGAGUUGUGCAGCUCUGCUGCCUGGCAGAGAGGCUGCAGGUUCAAAUCCCAUCUGUCCCCGUUUUCUCUGGUUUAUUUGUUUUGCCCGUUUAAUCAACAACGCAGCUCAAAGUGUUUUACAUC
Poecilia latipinna (sailfin molly) is the source of this 176-nucleotide long non-coding RNA. RefSeq lists it as uncharacterized. The transcript has 2 exons. NCBI's taxonomy places the organism in Eukaryota, Metazoa, Chordata, Actinopteri, Cyprinodontiformes, Poeciliidae. The record is from RefSeq and is a predicted model, not a curated record.